This 549-nucleotide ribosomal RNA is filed under the name Cyclommatus asahinai. RNAcentral describes it as "partial 16S ribosomal RNA". It matches the Rfam family "Bacterial large subunit ribosomal RNA", at positions 1798 to 2619 of the family's 2925-position model. The record is from RNAcentral. Lineage: Eukaryota; Metazoa; Arthropoda; Insecta; Coleoptera; Lucanidae.
GCCUGUUUAUCAAAAACAUGUCUUUCUGUUAAAUAUUUAAAGUCUGGCCUGCCCAAUGAUUAUUUAAAUGGCCGCGGUAUUUUGACCGUGCAAAGGUAGCAUAAUCAUUAGUUUUUUAAUUGAAAGCUGGUAUGAAUGGUUUGACGAGAAAGUUGCUGUCUCUUUAAAAUUAAUUGAAUUUUAUUUUUUAGUUAAAAAGCUGAAAUUUUCAUAAGGGACGAGAAGACCCUAUAGAAUUUUAUAAUUAAAUGUUUAGUAAUUAUAUUGAUUUAUAUUUGUUAUAAAACUUUUAAUUAUUUUGUUGGGGCGAUAGGAAAAUUUAAUUAACUUUUUAUUAUUAAGAGCAUUGAUUUAUGUAUAUAUGAUCCAUUUUUUUUUGAUUACAAGAGAAAAUUACCUUAGGGAUAACAGCGUUAUUAAUUUGGAGAGUUCAUAUCGAUAAAUUAGUUUGCGACCUCGAUGUUGGAUUAAAAUUAUCUUUAGGUGGAGAUACUUAAAAGUUAAGUCUGUUCGACUUUUAAAAUUUUACAUGAUCUGAGUUCAGACCGG